GAUUGUAGGUCGCAACUCGCCUACAUGAAGUCGGAAUUGCUAGUAAUCGCGGAUCAGCAUGCCGCGGUGAAUACGUUCCCGGGCCUUGUACACACCGCCCGUCACACCAUGGGAGUCGGUAACACCCGAAGUCGGUAGCCUAACCGUAAGGAGGGCGCCGCCGAAGGUGGGAUUGAUGACUGGGGUGAAGUCGUAACAAGGUAUC
This 205-nucleotide ribosomal RNA is filed under the name uncultured bacterium. RNAcentral describes it as "partial 16S ribosomal RNA". It matches the Rfam family "Bacterial small subunit ribosomal RNA", at positions 1296 to 1500 of the family's 1533-position model. The record is from RNAcentral.